AACGAACGCUGGCGGCAUGCCUAACACAUGCAAGUCGAACGAGACCUUCGGGCCUAGUGGCGCACGGGUGCGUAACGCGUGGGAACCUGCCCUUAGGUUCGGAAUAACUCCCCGAAAGGGGUGCUAAUACCGGAUAAUGUCUUCGGACCAAAGAUUUAUCGCCUUUGGAUGGGCCCGGGUUGGAUUAGCUAGUUGGUAGGGUAAAAGCCUACCAAGGCGACGAUCCAUAGCUGGUCUGAGAGGAUGAUCAGCCACACUGGGACUGAGACACGGCCCAGACUGCUACGGGAGGCAGCAGUGGGGAAUAUUGGACAAUGGGCGAAAGCCUGAUCCAGCAAUGCCGCGUGAGUGAUGAAGGCCUUAGGGUUGUAAAGCUCUUUUACCCGGGAUGAUAAUGACAGUACCGGGAGAAUAAGCUCCGGCUAACUCCGUG
Molecule: ribosomal RNA, 433 nt
Filed under: uncultured bacterium
Lineage: Bacteria
Description: partial 16S ribosomal RNA
Rfam family: Bacterial small subunit ribosomal RNA
Source: RNAcentral